This 427-nucleotide ribosomal RNA is filed under the name uncultured bacterium. RNAcentral's name for it is "bacterial SSU rRNA". It matches the Rfam family "Bacterial small subunit ribosomal RNA", at positions 355 to 774 of the family's 1533-position model. The record is from RNAcentral.
UGGGGAAUUUUGGACAAUGGGCGCAAGCCUGAUCCAGCCAUGCCGCGUGCGGGAAGACGGCCUUCGGGUUGUAAACCGCUUUUGUCAGGGAAGAAAUCCUUUGAGCUAAUACCUCGGGGGGAUGACGGUACCUGAAGAAUAAGCACCGGUUAACUACGUGCCAGCAGCCGCGGUAAUACGUAGGGUGCAAGCGUUAAUUGGAAUUACUGGGCGUAAUGCGUGCGCAGGCGGUUAUGCAAGACAGAGGUGAAAUCCCCGGGCUCAACCUGGGAACUGCAUUUGUUACUGCGAGGCUGGAGUGCGGCUGAGGGGGAUGGAAUGCCGGGUGUAGCGGUGAAAUGCAUAGAUAUGCAGAGGAACACCGAUGGCGAAGGCAAUCCCCUGAGCCUGAACUGACGCUCAUGCACGAAAGCGUGGGGAGCAAACA